RNAcentral lists this transfer RNA (74 nucleotides) under Bos taurus (domestic cattle). It matches the Rfam family "tRNA". Rfam says of the family: Transfer RNA (tRNA) molecules are approximately 80 nucleotides in length. Their secondary structure includes four short double-helical elements and three loops (D, anti-codon, and T loops). Further hydrogen bonds mediate the characteristic L-shaped molecular structure. tRNAs have two regions of fundamental functional importance: the anti-codon, which is responsible for specific mRNA codon recognition, and the 3' end, to which the tRNAs corresponding amino acid is attached (by aminoacyl-tRNA synthetases). tRNAs cope with the degeneracy of the genetic code in two manners: having more than one tRNA (with a specific anti-codon) for a particular amino acid; and 'wobble' base-pairing, i.e. permitting non-standard base-pairing at the 3rd anti-codon position. The record is from Rfam by way of RNAcentral. Lineage: Eukaryota; Metazoa; Chordata; Mammalia; Artiodactyla; Bovidae. RNAcentral also lists the same sequence under 2 other names.
UUCCUGGUAGUCCAGUGGUUAAGACUCUGCAUUUCCACUGCAGAGAAGUAAGGGUUCAAUCCCUGGUCAGGGAA